ACUCCUACGGGAGGCAGCAGUGGGGAAUAUUGGGCAAUGGGGGCAACCCUGACCCAGCGACGCCGCGUGAGGGAAGAAGGCCUUCGGGUUGUAAACCUCUUUUGUAUGGGAAGAAGGACGUGACGGUACCGUACGAAUAAGUCCCGGCUAACUACGUGCCAGCAGCCGCGGUAAUACGUAGGGGACGAGCGUUGUCCGGAAUUACUGGGCGUAAAGGGCGCGCAGGCUGUGCUGCAAGUCAGCU
This 244-nucleotide ribosomal RNA is filed under the name uncultured bacterium. Its description in RNAcentral is "partial 16S ribosomal RNA". It matches the Rfam family "Bacterial small subunit ribosomal RNA", at positions 335 to 593 of the family's 1533-position model. The record is from RNAcentral.